This 993-nucleotide ribosomal RNA is filed under the name Aspicilia laevata. RNAcentral's name for it is "SSU rRNA". It matches the Rfam family "Bacterial small subunit ribosomal RNA", at positions 370 to 1294 of the family's 1533-position model. Lineage: Eukaryota; Fungi; Ascomycota; Lecanoromycetes; Pertusariales; Megasporaceae. The record is from RNAcentral.
AAUAGCCUAACGGCUGAACCAGCAACUUGGAGGAAUGUAUAGCGAAAGCUCGUUGUAUUAACUUCGACUCUGUCGAAGUUUAUGCAGCAUCGACUAUGUCGAAUAAAGUUCUAGGUAGAGUUAUGAUAAUGACAUUUUCUAUCUAUGUGUCUUGACCAAGUCACGUGCCAGCAGUCGCGGUAAUACGUGGAAGACUAGUGUUAUUCAUCUUUAAUAGGUUUAAAGGGUACUUAGACGGUAAAUUUAGCCCAAAUAAAAACAAAGGGUACUAAUAAUACUAGAGUUUAAUGAGAGGGGGUGUGUAGUAGUGGAGUAGCGAUGAAAUUCUGUCAUACCAUUAUGACAGGCAACGGCGAAAGCAACCUUUUAUGUAAAAACUGACGUUAAAGGACGAAGGCUUUGUGUCACCAACAGGAUUAGAUACCCAAGUAAUCUUAGCAGACAAUUAUGAAUGUCAUAGAUAAGAAAAAAAAAAAUAUUCUUCUUUAUUCUUAUCUUCACAGAUAAGAAAAAAAAACAAAAGUAUUCUUUUUCUUAUUGCCACAGGUAAGGAAAAGUAUUAUUUUGUUUAGAAUAAAGAAAGGAUAUUAUUUGUCUAUAAAUGAAAGUGUAAGCAUUCCACCUCAAGAGUAAUGCGGCAACGCAUAAACUGAAAUCAUUAGACCGUUUCUGAAACCAGUAGUGAAGUAUGUUGUUUAAUUCGAUGGUCCGCACAAAACCUUACCACAAUUUGUAUAUUAUUAGCUUAGUACAAGAGUUGCACGGCUGUCUUCAGUUAAUGUCGUGAGAUUUUGGUUAGUUCCAUAAAAUUAACGUAAACCCUUACUUUAUUUAUAUCAUAAAGUAGUUCACCGCUAUAUUGGAUAUGAUAAAAGGGACUAAGACAAGUCAUCAUGGCCUGAAUAUUGUGGGCUAUAGACGUGCCACGUAUGCCUAUACAAAGGGACGCGAAAUUGUGAAAUUAAGCUAAUCCCCUAAAAUAGGAUAUAACAU